GGAGGCGUGCGCGAGUGGUUGAUACGGCCGGUCUCGAAAACCGGUAUACCGUUUACGGUAUCGAGGGUUCGAAUCCUUCCGCCUCCGCCA
RNAcentral lists this transfer RNA (90 nucleotides) under Elusimicrobia bacterium ADurb.Bin231. RNAcentral's name for it is "tRNA-Ser". It matches the Rfam family "tRNA". Rfam says of the family: Transfer RNA (tRNA) molecules are approximately 80 nucleotides in length. The record is from RNAcentral. Lineage: Bacteria; Pseudomonadati; Elusimicrobiota.